This 376-nucleotide ribosomal RNA is filed under the name Stenotrophomonas maltophilia. RNAcentral's name for it is "bacterial LSU rRNA". It matches the Rfam family "Bacterial large subunit ribosomal RNA", at positions 2562 to 2925 of the family's 2925-position model. The record is from RNAcentral. Lineage: Bacteria; Pseudomonadati; Pseudomonadota; Gammaproteobacteria; Lysobacterales; Lysobacteraceae.
GUCCCAAGGGUAUGGCUGUUCGCCAUUUAAAGUGGUACGCGAGCUGGGUUCAGAACGUCGUGAGACAGUUCGGUCCCUAUCUGCCAUGGGCGUUGGAGAUUUGAGAGGGGCUGCUCCUAGUACGAGAGGACCGGAGUGGACGAACCUCUGGUGUUCCGGUUGUCACGCCAGUGGCAUUGCCGGGUAGCUAUGUUCGGAAGCGAUAACCGCUGAAAGCAUCUAAGCGGGAAGCGCGCCUCAAGAUGAGAUCUCCCGGGGCACAAGCCCCCUGAAGGAACCAUGUAGACUACGUGGUUGAUAGGUCAGGUGUGUAAGUACAGCAAUGUAUUGAGCUAACUGAUACUAAUGAUCCGUGCGGCUUGACCAUAUAACCUCA